CUCUUGUCCUGCCCUUGGGGCCCUUGCCUCUUCCCCCCUGCCUAUUGGUGGUGUGUGGAACUCAGGAGUGGUGACUCUAUCCCGACCUUAGUCUCUUGUCCUUUGCUUCAGGGCAUCAGUGUGGCUGUGGUCCUCUGAUGCAACAGAUGCUUUUUUUAUCUUAGGAGGCAUGCAGCAGACUGGUGGGAUGGCUCUCCCCAGGGCACGGAGGGCCACUUGCAAGACCCAUCCCACCGCUCUGCUGCAUGCCUCCUUGGUGUGUGAGCAUGUGUCACCUACUCUCUGUGGUGCCUCUGGAGUUGUACAGGUUGUCCCUCAGGUGCUGAAAAUCAAGCAGUGCUGUUUCCUAUUCCCAGCAAACCCCUUGUGUCACCACUGUGGCGGUGUGUCCUGUGCAUAGCAUUCUUGGGCGCCUUGAUGGUAAGGUGGCACACCUGUCCCACUUUUGGGGCAAGUACCUCAUUGUGGUCAUGCUUACUGUGCUAGAGGGACUGAGGUUGCCAGGUGAAUGCCAUGAAUACCUUUUUGCCAGGACUUGUGUGCAAUAGUGGGAGGCUGGGCAGUACAGAGAGGGGCUCAGUCAGACUUCAGGGUUAGGGUUAGGGUGAGGGACAGUUUCAGAAACUUGGUAGGACAUGGGUGAGGAUAUUAGCUCAGGAUAAUGUCAGGACUUUAGAUAUUGACGGCCGCAGGGCCUUAGAGACAGUGUCAGGGCCUGACUUAGGACGAGCAUCAGAGCGUCUGUUAGGUACAGUGUCAGGGACUGAGUUAGGUGUUGUGUCAGGGCCUGAAUUAGGACGAGCCUCCAGGCCUGAGUUAGGGACAGGGUCACGGCCUCGGUACUAAUUUCAGGGCCUUAGUUAGGGACAGCAUGAGGGAUUUAGUUAGCAUUAGAGCCGCGACAUUAGUUAAAGACAUGGUUAGGUUAAGGUCUAGGGAUAGUGUCAAGACAUGACCUAGGGAUAGUGCCAAGACCUUAGUUACUUGGAGCAUCAGGGCCUAAUUUAGGACCAGUGUUAGGGCUUCAGGUAGGGACAGUGUCAGAGCCGGACUUAGGGAAAGCGACAGGGCUUGAGUGAGCCCUAGCGUCAGGGCCUUAGCUAGGGACAGUGUCAGGGCAUGACUUAGGAGUAGCAUAAAGGCCUUGGCAGGAUCAGCCUCAGGGGCUUUGCUAAAGCCAAUAUCAGGGCCUCUGUUAGGGACAACCUCAGGGCCUCACGGACAGCGUCAUGGCUUACUUGGGGACAGUUUCAGGACCUUGGUAAGAGAUGGGUGAGGAAAUUAGUUCAGGAUAGUGUCAGGACAUUAUCUACACACACAGCUGGGUGAGACAUAAGGCUGGACACUUGGGGCUGAGAGGACUGAUGAGGUUCGGGGAGCAAAUAGAGACGCUUUGAAGUAAUACUGCAUGCUACACAUUCAAUGGGUCUCAACUCAACAGCAGGGCCUUAGUUAGGGACACUGUCAACGCCUUAGUUAGGACUAGCAUCAGAGCCUCUGUUAGGUACCGUGUCAGGGCCUGAGUUAGGAAUAGUGUUAGGGCAUCAGUUAGGGACAGUUCUGGGCCGCAUUUAGGACGAGCAUCUAGGCCUUAGUUAGGGACAGUGUCAUGGACGUGGGCCUAAAAUCAGGGUCUUUGUUAGGCACAGUGUAAGGGCUUCAGUUAGCAUAAGAGGCAGGACAUUUGCUAGGGACAGGGUUAGGGUAAAGUUUAGGGAUCGUGUCAGGAAAUGACCAAGGGAUAGUGUCAAGACAUUAGUCACUGAGACUAUCAGGGCCUUAAUUAGAACCAGUAUCAAGGCUUCAGGUAGGGAGAGCGUCAGUGCCUGACUGAGGGAGAGCUAUUGGGCCUGAAUGAGCCUAGCGUCAGGCCCUUAGCUGGGGACACUGUCAGGGCAUGAUGUAGGAGCCGCAUCAGGGCCUUUGUUGGGUCAGCAAUAGAGUCUUAGUUAAAGACAUGAUCAGGGCCUGAGGUAGUCACAGUGUCAAGGCCUCAGUUAGGCAUAGCUUCAGGGCCUGAGUUAGACACAGCCUCUCACCUUCACUUAUGGACAGCGACAGGUCUUUCUUAGGGACAGUGUCAGGACCUUGGUUAGAAAUGGGUCAGGAUAUUAGCUCAGGAUAGUGUCCGGAUUUUAGUUUUUGCCGGCAGCAGGGCCUAUAUUAGGGACAGAUUGUGGGCCUUAGUUAGAGCCAGUGUCAGGGCCUUAGUUAAGACUAGUCAGGGCCUUAGUUAGGGAGAGCAUUAGGGUAUCAGUGAGGAUAAGAGGCAGGAAAUUAACUCGGGACAGACUUAGCUUCCAGGCCACGGGUAGUGUCAGGAAAUGAGCUAGGGAUAGUGUGAAGACCUUAGUUAUUGAGAGCAUCAGGGCUUUAAUCAGGACCAGCGUCAGGGCUUUAAUCAGGACCAGUUUCAGGGCUUGAUACCGGGGCAGCGUCAGAGCCUAACUGAGGUUCGGCAACAGGGCCUAAGUGAGGCCUAUCUCUGGGGCCUGAGUUAGGGACAGUGUCAGGGCAUGACCGAGGAGUAGUAUGAUGGCCUCUGUAGGAUCAGCAUCAGGGUCUUGGUUAAAGACAUGCUCAGGGCCUCUUUUAGGGACAGCCUCAGGGCCUCACUUAGGGACAGCGUCAGGGCUUACUUUGGGACAGUUUCAGGACCUUGGUAAGAAAUGGGUCAGGAUAUUAGCUCAGGAUAAUGUCAGGACUUUAGAUAUUGACGGCAGCAGGGCCUUGGAGAGAUAGAUAUUGACGGUAGCAGGGCCUUAGAGACAGUGUCAGGGCCUGACCUAGGACGAGCAUCAGAGCCUUUGUUAGGUACAGUGUCAGGGACUGAGUUAGGUGUUGUGUCAGGGCCUGAGUUAGGACGAGCCUCCAGGCCUGAGUUAGGGACAGGGUCACGGCCUCGGGACUAAUUUCAGGGCCUUAGUUAGGGACAGCAUCAGGGAUUUAGUUAGCAUAAGAGGCUCGACCUUCGUUAAAAGACAUGUUUAUGUUAAGGUCUAGGGGUAGUGUCAAGGCAUGACCUAGGGAUAGUGCCAAGACCUUAGUUACUUAGAGCAUCAGGGCCUAAUUUAACCUCAGUGUUAGGGCUUCAGAUAGGGACACCGUCAGAGCCGGACAUAGCUAGGGCGACAGGACUUGAGGGAGGCCUAGCAUCAGGGCCUUAACUAGGGACAGUGUCAGGGCAUGACUUAGGAGUAACAUAAGGGGCUCAGUAGCAUCAGCCUCAGGGGCUUUGCAAAAGCCAUUUUCAGGGCCUUUUCAGGACAUUUGCUAGGGAUAGGGUUAAGGUAAAGUUUAGGGGUCGUGUCAGGAAAUGACGUAGGGAUAGUGUCAAGACCUUAGUAACUGACAGUAUCAGGCCC
Molecule: long non-coding RNA, 3365 nt
Organism: Orcinus orca (killer whale)
Lineage: Eukaryota; Metazoa; Chordata; Mammalia; Artiodactyla; Delphinidae
Exons: 3
Source: RefSeq, a predicted model, not a curated record